AACACUGUUAACCUGCGGUACCUGCGGAGGGAUCAUUACGAGAGUGUCACCACUCCCAACCCAUUGUUUACCUACCCGUCCACCGUGCUUCGGCAGGCAGCCUGUGGGACAGAGCCUCGCCCCCUUUCGCGGGGGGUGCCUGCCGCUUGCCAACCAAAACUCUAGCUGUUUUAGUACCAUCUGAGUCUUCCACAAAUGAACAAAACUUUUAACAAUGGAUCUCAGAUCGGAAGAGCACAC
Molecule: unclassified non-coding RNA, 240 nt
Filed under: soil metagenome
Description: partial contains 5.8S ribosomal RNA, internal transcribed spacer 2, and large subunit ribosomal RNA
Source: RNAcentral